AAACAUUGGCUGCAAAGAGCCAGACAUCAUCAAUUGGUGGGACGGAACUUGGCUGCCAAAGGGAGUCUGCCUGUAUAUCUGUCUGCCUGUA
This 91-nucleotide microRNA precursor is filed under the name Trichophyton rubrum BMU01672. Lineage: Eukaryota; Fungi; Ascomycota; Eurotiomycetes; Onygenales; Arthrodermataceae. The record is from RNAcentral.